This 598-nucleotide long non-coding RNA is filed under the name Polistes fuscatus (common paper wasp). RNAcentral's name for it is "uncharacterized LOC122523668". The record is from RNAcentral. Lineage: Eukaryota; Metazoa; Arthropoda; Insecta; Hymenoptera; Vespidae.
AAUAACAAUAUUAUGCAUAAUAGUGACGUAAAAUCAAGGAAUAAUGAUAUGCAAUAUAUAUGUAUUUCACUAUUAGUUGUAACUUAAACUAAUAAAUGUCUGUUUAUUUAUAAUAAAUAAAUUAAUUACUUAGAAAUAUAUGUACGUUGUAUUUUUUUAGUAAAUUAAAUACAAGAAUAAUCAUAAGUUUUAUUAUUAGAAUGUUAUACUGCAGAAGUACUCUUAUCUUGCUGUUCUACGAUAUAGAUUUUAUUUAAUAUAAAAAACAUGUGGCCAUUUUUACUUUCGAUAUUUGCGCUGUUUCACUUAGCUUCAGCAUCAGGUAGUUUUGAUUUUGGUGACACAUUAGCAUUAAUUUUGGGUCUUAUUCUUGGAAUUAUGGGAUUUUUUGCUUGUAUGGGAGCCUAUGCAAGACGACGAAACCAAUUUGAAUCUUUGUGAUCAUGGGAAAUAUAUUUCAAUAAAAUUCAUAGGAUAUAAGAAAUAUUUAAAACUAUACAGGAGUCUAGAUUAAAAAUGCUUAAGAGGAGCAUCAUAUUGAAUUUAUAUUAAAACAAAUAUCAAGAAAAUAUUAAAAUUAUAUAAUAUUAACUACUUA